AAGUAGUUUAAGUUGUGUGCAAGUGGUAGGAGAGCGUUCUAUUUGCGUCGAAGGUA
Molecule: ribosomal RNA, 56 nt
Filed under: Campylobacter jejuni
Lineage: Bacteria; Pseudomonadati; Campylobacterota; Epsilonproteobacteria; Campylobacterales; Campylobacteraceae
Description: partial 23S ribosomal RNA
Source: RNAcentral